GGAUUGGUGCCUUCGGAACUCUGACACGAGGUGCUGCAUGGCUGUCGUCAGCUCGUGUCGUGAGAUUGUUAGGGUUAAGUCCCGUAACGAGCGCAACCCUUGUCCUUAGUUACCAGCACGUUAUGGUGGGCACUCUAAGGAGACUGCCGGUGACAAACCGGAGGAAGGUGGGGAUGACGUCAAGUCAUCAUGGCCCUUACGGCCUGGGCUACACACGUGCUACAAUGGUCGGUACAAAGGGUUGCCAAGCCGCGAGGUGGAGCUAAUCCCAUAAAACCGAUCGUAGUCCGGAUCGCAGUCUGCAACUCGACUGCGUGAAGUCGGAAUCGCUAGUAAUCGUGAAUCAGAAUGUCACGGUGAAUACGUUCCCGGGCCUU
RNAcentral lists this ribosomal RNA (377 nucleotides) under uncultured Pseudomonas sp. RNAcentral describes it as "bacterial SSU rRNA". It matches the Rfam family "Bacterial small subunit ribosomal RNA", at positions 1008 to 1382 of the family's 1533-position model. The record is from RNAcentral. Lineage: Bacteria; Pseudomonadati; Pseudomonadota; Gammaproteobacteria; Pseudomonadales; Pseudomonadaceae.